Molecule: small nucleolar RNA, 136 nt
Organism: Sitophilus oryzae (rice weevil)
Lineage: Eukaryota; Metazoa; Arthropoda; Insecta; Coleoptera; Curculionidae
Product: small nucleolar RNA SNORA70
Exons: 1
Source: RefSeq, a predicted model, not a curated record
CCCCACACUUUUAAGCCGGCCUUUUUCGCAUCUUAGAGUGAAAAAGGUGUGCUCGUAGUGGGAACAGAAAAGUCUUUUCUUGUGUAUGGUUGCUUUGGCUUUAUCCAUAUUGACUAAAGGAAGAUUAGAAACAAUC